GGAAGGGUGGCUCAGUGGUAGAGCGUCCUCGCCGGCCGUCGGCUCCGGUCGACACACGGCUUCGCGUGGUUCGAAUCCCGCCCCUUCCA
This 89-nucleotide transfer RNA is filed under the name Haloplanus aerogenes. RNAcentral's name for it is "tRNA-Arg". It matches the Rfam family "tRNA". Rfam says of the family: Transfer RNA (tRNA) molecules are approximately 80 nucleotides in length. Their secondary structure includes four short double-helical elements and three loops (D, anti-codon, and T loops). Further hydrogen bonds mediate the characteristic L-shaped molecular structure. tRNAs have two regions of fundamental functional importance: the anti-codon, which is responsible for specific mRNA codon recognition, and the 3' end, to which the tRNAs corresponding amino acid is attached (by aminoacyl-tRNA synthetases). tRNAs cope with the degeneracy of the genetic code in two manners: having more than one tRNA (with a specific anti-codon) for a particular amino acid; and 'wobble' base-pairing, i.e. permitting non-standard base-pairing at the 3rd anti-codon position. Lineage: Archaea; Methanobacteriati; Methanobacteriota; Halobacteria; Halobacteriales; Haloferacaceae. The record is from RNAcentral.